AAUGAACGCUGGCGGCAGGCCUAACACAUGCAAGUCGAACGGAUCCUUCGGGAUUAGUGGCGGACGGGUGAGUAACGCGUGGGAACAUACCCUUUGGUACGGAAUAGCCUCGGGAAACUGGGAGUAAUACCGUAUGUGGUCGAGAGACGAAAGAUUUAUCGCCAAAGGAUUGGCCCGCGUUGGAUUAGGUAGUUGGUGGGGUAAUGGCCUACCAAGCCGACGAUCCAUAGCUGGUUUGAGAGGAUGAUCAGCCACACUGGGACUGAGACACGGCCCAGAGUCCGCCGGGAGGCAGCAGUGGGGAAUCUUAGACAAUGGGGGAACCCCUGAUCUAGCCAUGCCGCGUCAUCGAUGAACGCAUUAGGGUUGGACAGAUCUUUCAGGUGGGAAGAUAAUGACUGUACCACCAGAAGAAGCCCCGGCUAACUCCGUGCCAGCCGCCGCCGUAA
Molecule: ribosomal RNA, 449 nt
Filed under: uncultured bacterium
Lineage: Bacteria
Description: partial 16S ribosomal RNA
Rfam family: Bacterial small subunit ribosomal RNA
Source: RNAcentral